UCAUCUGAACAUUGAUUAUGACUCGUGACAUAAAAAAUGUUCAAAUUGUUAAUUCAAGUCCGAUGUUGUCUCUUUUCUGAUCAUUUCUGUUAUAUCACGUUAAACCCAGAUGUGAAUUUCCCCAAAACUGAAGAUGGUUGACAGCUAGAAUACCAAUGAAAGAACUAAAGCUAGAGACAGGGAAUCUCUAGGGAGGAGAUUCAGACAGACAACAAAGAUUCGAGGGGCUACAGCCAGAUUGAUCCAGCUUUGAAAUCUACUGUCACUACAGUAUCCAGCCCAAUUGAACAUGGCACUCCUAUCGUACCUUACAUCCAGGACCGACACCACCGUAUCCCCCAAAGCAUGACAGGUUCAAUUCACCUCCACCUGCUUAAACAUUCUAUCUCCAGCCAAAAGCAAGUCCUUAGUAGUUUUGAAAGACUGGGCUAUUUCAAAGUUCAGGUUGUUGUCUGAAGCCUUAAAUCAGGUUCAGCAUGUUUCGCAAGCUGCCCUUAGUUUGUUUGCCUGUAUGAUGGUCUAAAAGGCAAACAUGCAUACUUCGUUGUAGCAAACUUACUUUUCUAAUGCUUGUUUUUGGCUUGAAGAUUCUGAAAA
Populus nigra (black poplar) is the source of this 597-nucleotide long non-coding RNA. RefSeq lists it as uncharacterized. NCBI's taxonomy places the organism in Eukaryota, Viridiplantae, Streptophyta, Magnoliopsida, Malpighiales, Salicaceae. The record is from RefSeq and is a predicted model, not a curated record. The transcript is spliced from 2 exons.